CUGGAGGUAUCAGAAGUGCGAAUGCUGACAUAAGUAACGAUAAAGCGGGUGAAAAGCCCGCUCGCCGGAAGACCAAGGGUUCCUGUCCAACGUUAAUCGGGGCAGGGUGAGUCGACCCCUAAGGCGAGGCCGAAAGGCGUAGUCGAUGGGAAACAGGUUAAUAUUCCUGUACUUGGUGUUACUGCGAAGGGGGGACGGAGAAGGCUAUGUUGGCCGGGCGACGGUUGUCCCGGUUUAAGCGUGUAGGCUGGUUUUCCAGGCAAAUCCGGAAAAUCAAGGCUGAGGCGUGAUGACGAGGCACUACGGUGCUGAAGCAACAAAUGCCCUGCUUCCAGGAAAAGCCUCUAAGCAUCAGGUAACAUCAAAUCGUACCCCAAACCGACACAGGUGGUCAGGUAGAGAAUACCAAGGCGCUUGAGAGAACUCGGGUGAAGGAACUAGGCAAAAUGGUGCCGUAACUUCGGGAGAAGGCACGCUGAUAUGUAGGUGAAGUCCCUCGCGGAUGGAGCUGAAAUCAGUCGAAGAUACCAGCUGGCUGCAACUGUUUAUUAAAAACACAGCACUGUGCAAACACGAAAGUGGACGUAUACGGUGUGACGCCUGCCCGGUGCCGGAAGGUUAAUUGAUGGGGUUAGCGCAAGCGAAGCUCUUGAUCGAAGCCCCGGUAAACGGCGGCCGUAACUAUAACGGUCCUAAGGUAGCGAAAUUCCUUGUCGGGUAAGUUCCGACCUGCACGAAUGGCGUAAUGAUGGCCAGGCUGUCUCCACCCGAGACUCAGUGAAAUUGAACUCGCUGUGAAGAUGCAGUGUACCCGCGGCAAGACGGAAAGACCCCGUGAACCUUUACUAUAGCUUGACACUGAACAUUGAGCCUUGAUGUGUAGGAUAGGUGGGAGGCUUUGAAGUGUGGACGCCAGUCUGCAUGGAGCCGACCUUGAAAUACCACCCUUUAAUGUUUGAUGUUCUAACGUUGACCCGUGAUCCGGGUUGCGGACAGUGUCUGGUGGGUAGUUUGACUGGGGCGGUCUCCUCCUAAAGAGUAACGGAGGAGCACGAAGGUUGGCUAAUCCUGGUCGGACAUCAGGAGGUUAGUGCAAUGGCAUAAGCCAGCUUGACUGCGAGCGUGACGGCGCGAGCAGGUGCGAAAGCAGGUCAUAGUGAUCCGGUGGUUCUGAAUGGAAGGGCCAUCGCUCAACGGAUAAAAGGUACUCCGGGGAUAACAGGCUGAUACCGCCCAAGAGUUCAUAUCGACGGCGGUGUUUGGCACCUCGAUGUCGGCUCAUCACAUCCUGGGGCUGAAGUAGGUCCCAAGGGUAUGGCUGUUCGCCAUUUAAAGUGGUACGCGAGCUGGGUUUAGAACGUCGUGAGACAGUUCGGUCCCUA
RNAcentral lists this ribosomal RNA (1382 nucleotides) under Escherichia coli. RNAcentral describes it as "partial 23S ribosomal RNA". It matches the Rfam family "Bacterial large subunit ribosomal RNA", at positions 1273 to 2640 of the family's 2925-position model. The record is from RNAcentral. Lineage: Bacteria; Pseudomonadati; Pseudomonadota; Gammaproteobacteria; Enterobacterales; Enterobacteriaceae.